This 21-nucleotide non-coding RNA is filed under the name Caenorhabditis elegans. Lineage: Eukaryota; Metazoa; Nematoda; Chromadorea; Rhabditida; Rhabditidae. The record is from RNAcentral.
UUGAAAAUGAACUUCUUUUCU